GUUUUGGAUGGACUCGCGGCCUAUCAGCUUGUUGGUGGGGUAAUGGCUUACCAAGGCGACGACGGGUAGCCGGCCUGAGAGGGUGACCGGCCACACUGGGACUGAGACACGGCCCAGACUCCUACGGGAGGCAGCAGUGGGGAAUAUUGCACAAUGGGCGCAAGCCUGAUGCAGCGACGCCGCGUGAGGGAUGAAGGCCUUCGGGUUGUAAACCUCUUUCAGUAGGGAAGAAGCUGGUCCUUUUGGGGUUGGUGACGGUACCUGCAGAAGAAGCGCCGGCUAACUACGUGCCAGCAGCCGCGGUAAUACGUAGGGCGCAAGCGUUAUCCGGAAUUAUUGGGCGUAAAGAGCUCGUAGGCGGUUUGUCGCGUCUGCCGUGAAAGUCCGGGGCUUAACCCCGGAUCUGCGGUGGGUACGGGCAGACUAGAGUGCAGUAGGGGAGACUGGAAUUCCUGGUGUAGCGGUGAAAUGCGCAGAUAUCAGGAGGAACACCGAUGGCGAAGGCAGGUCUCUGGGCUGUAACUGACGCUGAGGAGCGAAAGCAUGGGGAGCGAACAGGAUUAGAUACCCUGGUAGUCCAUGCCGUAAACGUUGGGCACUAGGUGUGGGGGACAUUCCACGUUUUCCGCGCCGUAGCUAACGCAUUAAGUGCCCCGCCUGGGGAGUACGGCCGCAAGGCUAAAACUCAAAGGAAUUGACGGGGGCCCGCACAAGCGGCGGAGCAUGCGGAUUAAUUCGAUGCAACGCGAAGAACCUUACCAAGGCUUGACAUGAACCGGAAUGAUGCAGAGAUGUGUCAGCCACUUGUGGCCGGUUUACAGGUGGUGCAUGGUUGUCGUC
This 840-nucleotide ribosomal RNA is filed under the name Arthrobacter sp. BAR24. RNAcentral describes it as "bacterial SSU rRNA". It matches the Rfam family "Bacterial small subunit ribosomal RNA", at positions 218 to 1056 of the family's 1533-position model. Lineage: Bacteria; Bacillati; Actinomycetota; Actinomycetes; Micrococcales; Micrococcaceae. The record is from RNAcentral.